AUUGAACGCUAGCGGGAUGCUUUACACAUGCAAGUCGAACGGCAGCGCGGACUUCGGUCUGGCGGCGAGUGGCGAACGGGUGAGUAAUGUAUCGGAACGUCCCCAGUAGCGGGGGCUAACUACGCGAAAGCGUAGCUAAUACCGCAUUCGCCCUACCGGGGUACGCAGGGGAUCGUAAGACCUUCCACUAUUGCACCGGCCGAUGUCGGAUUAGCUAGUUGGUGAGGUAACGGCUCACCAAGGCGACGAUCCGUAGCUGGUUUGAGAGGACGACCAGCCACACUGGGACUGAGACACGGCCCAGACUCCUACGGGAGGCAGCAGUGGGGAAUUUUGGACAAUGGGGGCAACCCUGAUCCAGCCAUCCCGCGUGGGCGAUGAAGGCCUUCGGGUUGUAAAGCCCUUUUGGCAGGAAAGAAACGUCGCGGGCUAAUACCCCGUGGAACUGACGGUACCUGCAGAAUAAGCACCGGCUAACUACGUG
RNAcentral lists this ribosomal RNA (484 nucleotides) under uncultured bacterium. RNAcentral's name for it is "partial 16S ribosomal RNA". It matches the Rfam family "Bacterial small subunit ribosomal RNA", at positions 30 to 507 of the family's 1533-position model. The record is from RNAcentral.